CCCAUAACCAAGGUGGAACCAAGGAGUAGGUAUAUAGCUGGCCCAGCAUUUGUAUAUGGAAGAAGUUCCCAGAGCUGCCUUGGAGCGAGAAGGCUUAUUUGAAGAUUUCCUUCUGCUGGAGGAUGCCUGGCUGGAAAAUAGUCUGAAUAAGUACUCUGUGCACCCACCGGGAGAGAUGUUUGUCCUUCUUAGCUGGGCAAGCAGAGGUGUGUUUGUUUAUAGUCCCAGACCCUUGUCUAAUUCAAAGACAAGCCAAAGAACGGCUGUAACUAAGGCUUACCUUGAGCAUUUAUUCAAAGUUUCAACUGGACUCUCAGGGGCCAUCUCUGAACAGAUGUGGUGUUAAGGGUGAGCAGGCUCCAACAGAGACAUGACCUCAUCAGGGCACCAUAAUUGGAUGAUCGGACCCUGAGGGUGUAGCCAGACUGCUGGCAGCUUUUGGAAGAUACUGUAGUCAGAACAACUAAAAAUUAAAGACGGACACAGCAAUAAAGUCUCCUUAUUACUCUUUUCCUUAUUCUCC
RNAcentral lists this long non-coding RNA (523 nucleotides) under Monodelphis domestica (gray short-tailed opossum). RNAcentral describes it as "lncRNA (ENSMODG00000039774.1)". The record is from RNAcentral. Lineage: Eukaryota; Metazoa; Chordata; Mammalia; Didelphimorphia; Didelphidae.